UACGGAGGGUGCAAACGUUGCUCGGAAUCAUUGGGCGUAAAGCGCACGUAGGCGGCCUGUUAAGUCGGGUGUGAAAGCCCUGGGCUCAACCCAGGAAGUGCACUCGAAACUGGCGGGCUUGAAUAUGGAAGAGGGUCGCGGAAUUCCCGGUGUAGAGGUGAAAUUCGUAGAUAUCGGGAGGAACACCAGUGGCGAAGGCGGCGACCUGGGAAGAUACUGACGCUGAGGUGCGAAAGCGUGGGGAGCAAACAGG
This 253-nucleotide ribosomal RNA is filed under the name uncultured bacterium. Its description in RNAcentral is "partial 16S ribosomal RNA". It matches the Rfam family "Bacterial small subunit ribosomal RNA", at positions 524 to 776 of the family's 1533-position model. The record is from RNAcentral.